GACCUGGUGGUCAUGGCGGGGUGGCUGCACCCGUUCCCAUUCCGAACACGGCCGUGAAACGCCCCUGCGCCAAUGGUACUUCGUCUUAAGACGCGGGAGAGUAGGUCGCUGCCAGGU
This 117-nucleotide ribosomal RNA is filed under the name Gillisella vitis. The record is from RNAcentral. Lineage: Bacteria; Pseudomonadati; Pseudomonadota; Alphaproteobacteria; Hyphomicrobiales; Rhizobiaceae.